GCCGGGUGUGGUGGUGGGCGCCUGUAAUCCCAGCUACUUGGGAGGCUGAGGCAGGAGAAUUGCUUGAGCCCGGGAGGCGGAGGUUGCAAUGAGCUGAGAUUGCGCCACUGCACUCCAGCCUGGGUGACAAAGCGAGACUCUGUCUCAA
Molecule: unclassified non-coding RNA, 148 nt
Organism: Pongo abelii (Sumatran orangutan)
Lineage: Eukaryota; Metazoa; Chordata; Mammalia; Primates; Hominidae
Rfam family: Metazoan signal recognition particle RNA
About the family: The signal recognition particle (SRP) is a universally conserved ribonucleoprotein. It is involved in the co-translational targeting of proteins to membranes.
Source: Ensembl